CAGGAAGAGGGAGCAUAGGCACCGCAUAUUCCUGAGCUUGCCAAAACAUGCUUCCAGAGAUGUGCUGCUGAAGAACAGGGGAGUCUUGCAGACACUGCGCCAUCUUCUCAUGCAUUAAUUUAAUCAGCUUUGGAAAGAACCAAGGCCUUAUCGUAUUCAAGUAGGAAAAACCUAAAAAUGCUGCUUCCAUCAUACCUAUGAAGAAAGUGAAUAAGCUUCCUGUUACUACUGGAAAUCAACAUUUAUUUCCAACAUCUGUCUCCUAUCAACUUCUCUGGAAUAAAGCUACUAUAUGCCUUACAGUGGCCUGUGUAGA
This is a long non-coding RNA of Dromaius novaehollandiae (emu), 316 nucleotides long. NCBI's taxonomy places the organism in Eukaryota, Metazoa, Chordata, Aves, Casuariiformes, Dromaiidae. The record is from Ensembl.